Molecule: ribosomal RNA, 255 nt
Filed under: uncultured bacterium
Lineage: Bacteria
Description: partial 16S ribosomal RNA
Rfam family: Bacterial small subunit ribosomal RNA
Source: RNAcentral
UACGUAGGGGGCAAGCGUUGUCCGGAAUCAUUGGGCGUAAAGAGCGUGUAGGCGGCUCGGUAAGUCCGCUCUGAAAGCCCGGGGGCUCAACCCCGGGAGGCGGGCGGAUACUGUCGGGCUAGAGUCCGGAAGAGGCGAGUGGAAUUCCUGGUGUACGCGGUGAAAUGCGCAGAUAUCAGGAGGAACACCAAUGGCGAAGGCAGCUCGCUGGGACGGUACUGACGCUGAGACGCGAAAGCGUGGGGAGCAAACAGG